Mangifera indica (mango) is the source of this 129-nucleotide small nucleolar RNA. RefSeq annotates it as small nucleolar RNA snoR74. Lineage: Eukaryota; Viridiplantae; Streptophyta; Magnoliopsida; Sapindales; Anacardiaceae. The transcript has a single exon. The record is from RefSeq and is a predicted model, not a curated record.
AAGCAAGCAGGGUUUUGUUGCUUCUUGUAAACAUUACUCUCGUGAAGUUCAGGAAAAUUAUAUUCAUUGUUCUUGGGUGAACCUCUGUAGAUAUUGGUGACUGAAGGUUCAGUAAAUGAUGACAAAUUU